CAGGCUCAGGACGAACGCUGGCGGCGUGCUUAAUACAUGCAAGUCGAGCGGACCAAUUAGAAAGCUUGCUUUUUAAUUGGUUAGCGGCGGACGGGUGAGUAACACGUGGGUAACCUGCCCUAUAGACCGGGAUAACUCGCGGAAACGCGUGCUAAUACCGGAUAACACACCGAAGCGCAUGCUUCGGGGUUGAAAGAUGGUUCUGCUAUCACUAUAGGAUGGGCCCGCGGCGCAUUAGCUAGUUGGUGGGGUAACGGCCUACCAAGGCGACGAUGCGUAGCCGACCUGAGAGGGUGAUCGGCCACACUGGGACUGAGACACGGCCCAGACUCCUACGGGAGGCAGCAGUAGGGAAUCUUCCACAAUGGGCGAAAGCCUGAUGGAGCAACGCCGCGUGAGCGAAGAAGGUCUUCGGAUCGUAAAGCUCUGUUGUAAGGGAAGAACAAGCGCAGCAGUCACUGGCUGCGCCCUGACGGUACCUUACUAGAAAGCCACGGCUAACUACGUGCCA
RNAcentral lists this ribosomal RNA (511 nucleotides) under Ureibacillus thermosphaericus. RNAcentral describes it as "bacterial SSU rRNA". It matches the Rfam family "Bacterial small subunit ribosomal RNA", at positions 19 to 510 of the family's 1533-position model. The record is from RNAcentral. Lineage: Bacteria; Bacillati; Bacillota; Bacilli; Caryophanales; Caryophanaceae.